Molecule: unclassified non-coding RNA, 200 nt
Filed under: uncultured Cryptococcus
Lineage: Eukaryota; Fungi; Basidiomycota; Tremellomycetes
Description: sequence contains ITS2
Source: RNAcentral
UUAAGUUCAGCGGGUAGUCCUACCUGAUUUGAGGCCAGAUGUCAAGAAUAUUAAUCGUAAGAUCAAUGGAUUAGAAAGCGGUCUUUAGUCCUGCAACGCGGCCAUCCGAAGAUGUCCUUAGCGAAAUACUUAUUACGCCAAGUCAAACCAUGUCGCGAGACAGAUCCAGCUAUUACUUUUAAGACGAGCCGACUUAUCAU